GACGAACGCUGGCGGCGUGCUUAACACAUGCAAGUCGAACGAAGUGGCGAACGGGUGAGUAACGCGUAAUCAACCUGCCCUUCGGAGGGGGACAACAGUUGGAAACGACUGCUAAUACCGCAUACUGAAGGAGGGGAUUGCGUCUGAUUAGCUAGUUGGGUGGGUAACGGCCCACCAAGGCGAUGGUCAGUAGCCGGGCUGAGAGGAUGGACGGGCAAAAUGGGAAUGGGACAAGGCCCAGACUCCCACGGGAGGCAGCAGUGGGGAAUCUUCCGCAAUGGACGAAAGUCCGAAGGAGCCACGCCGCGGGAGUGAUGACGGCCUUCGGGUUGUAAAGCUCUGUUAAUCGGGGCGCGGUACCGGAAGAGAAAGCCACGGCUAACUACGUGCCAGCAGCCGCGGUAAUUC
RNAcentral lists this ribosomal RNA (408 nucleotides) under uncultured bacterium. RNAcentral's name for it is "partial 16S ribosomal RNA". It matches the Rfam family "Bacterial small subunit ribosomal RNA", at positions 28 to 526 of the family's 1533-position model. The record is from RNAcentral.